Molecule: transfer RNA, 58 nt
Filed under: Mesocricetus auratus (golden hamster)
Lineage: Eukaryota; Metazoa; Chordata; Mammalia; Rodentia; Cricetidae
Source: Rfam by way of RNAcentral
UGGCUCAGUGGUUAAGAGCACUGGCUGUUCUUCCAGAGGACCUGGGUUCCAGUCCCAG